CUCCUGUCGUUAAGAUAAAUUCUCCAGUAGACAACCUCUCCCACUAAUUGUGUAUUAGCAACGUAUUUUAUCUUGAGAGCUUGUACACUGGGCUCUCAACGUGGUGUGGAAGGUAGCCUGUUACAGUGCUGGAUUCAUAAAAGGGCCUUUAUGGUUUGUGAAAGAAUAUCUGUGUGCUUAGGGAGGAAACUUUUUGAUCUGCAGAAAAGCCAGAAGACAUCUAGGACAUCCAUAAAAAUUCAUCAGAGAGCAUUUUACUACUGAGCUGCAAAGGGAAAAACUUAAAAUGGAUAUGAAAAGUGAAGAAAGUGAUCAUAGGAGAAAACCAUUUCAGGUGUCUGAUGAUUUGUGAGCCUCAAGUGACUACUCUGUGGAAUCAUCUGUCCUUGCCUUUGAAUUAGCUUUCCCUAGGCCAUGAGUCAACAUUAGUAGUUUAUACAUCCAAAUUGAUGACAAGAGCACCUCAAAGGCAGCAGCCUCAAGGAGCAGCCAUGGCCCCAGACUUGUCGCACGGAUGCAGAAAACUUAAUGGAGGAGGCUGAGGUCAGAAUGGGAAGAG
Molecule: long non-coding RNA, 559 nt
Filed under: Homo sapiens (human)
Lineage: Eukaryota; Metazoa; Chordata; Mammalia; Primates; Hominidae
Description: non-protein coding MIR99AHG:125
Source: RNAcentral